GAACAACAAGCUAUAAAAAGCCCCAAAAUUACAAGUGUAAAACCAUUCAAACGAGAAAAACCAACGGUCCAAUCUAUAUAAAAUAAACGAGAAACGAGAAACAAAUGUAAAUUACAUAAACAAACAACAACUACUGGACAUCAAAUUCCUGACUUAGGACAGGUGCAAACAUUUUGCAACGGGAUUAAACGUCGUAUCUCCAAUACAUGUAAUUAAGGUGUUUAAAACAACCCUCAUCUGUUAACUGUAAAGAAUUUUUUUAAGACCUAAUUGGUUCUUAUAUACGCAGACAAUUGAUAAUUA
This 303-nucleotide long non-coding RNA is filed under the name Mytilus galloprovincialis (Mediterranean mussel). The record is from RNAcentral. Lineage: Eukaryota; Metazoa; Mollusca; Bivalvia; Mytilida; Mytilidae.